This 495-nucleotide ribosomal RNA is filed under the name uncultured bacterium. RNAcentral describes it as "partial 16S ribosomal RNA". It matches the Rfam family "Bacterial small subunit ribosomal RNA", at positions 28 to 507 of the family's 1533-position model. The record is from RNAcentral.
GACGAACGCUGGCGGCGUGCCUAAUACAUGCAAGUAGAACGCUGAAGGAGGAGCUUGCUUCUCCGGAUGAGUUGCGAACGGGUGAGUAACGCGUAGGUAACCUGCCUGGUAGCGGGGGAUAACUAUUGGAAACGAUAGCUAAUACCGCAUAACAGUAGAUAUUGCAUGAUUUCUGCUUGAAAGGUGCAAUUGCAUCACUACCAGAUGGACCUGCGUUGUAUUAGCUAGUUGGUGAGGUAACGGCUCACCAAGGCGACGAUACAUAGCCGACCUGAGAGGGUGAUCGGCCACACUGGGACUGAGACACGGCCCAGACUCCUACGGGAGGCAGCAGUAGGGAAUCUUCGGCAAUGGACGGAAGUCUGACCGAGCAACGCCGCGUGAGUGAAGAAGGGUUUCGGAUCGUAAAGCUCUGUUGUAAGAGAAGAACGAGUGUGAGAGUGGAAAGUUCACACUGUGACGGUAUCUUACCAGAAAGGGACGGCUAACUACGUG